AUCGUUCAAUCUAAUUAUUAUUAGAUCGGAAGUAAGCUAAGGCUGAAGGAACGCAGA
The submitters of this non-coding RNA (57 nucleotides) gave its source as unclassified sequences. The record is from Rfam.